RNAcentral lists this ribosomal RNA (753 nucleotides) under Rigidonotus glomeratus. RNAcentral describes it as "eukaryotic LSU rRNA". The stretch from base 314 to 467 matches the Rfam family "5.8S ribosomal RNA". The record is from RNAcentral. Lineage: Eukaryota; Fungi; Basidiomycota; Agaricomycetes; Hymenochaetales; Hymenochaetaceae.
CAGGUUUCCGUAGGUGAACCUGCGGAAGGAUCAUUAUCGAGUUUUGAAAGCGGAGGCCUGUUGCUGGCGCGGAAACGCGCAUGUGCACGACCUUCGUGCUCAAUCCAUUCAACCCCUGUGCACCUUAACAAGUCGAAGUCAGUAGUCUCGUUGUGGGACUUUUGCAAGUAAUCAGUAAAGGGCGAACGCGUCAAGUUAGUAGCCCUUGAAAGUGAAAGUGAAGAGAACGCUGCGAGGCGAACGCUUUGGCUUCAUUUAUAAACACCUUUAUUGUCAUGUGAAUGUAAUGCUCCUUGUGGGCGAGAAUAAAUACAACUUUCAACAACGGAUCUCUUGGCUCUCGCAUCGAUGAAGAACGCAGCGAAAUGCGAUAAGUAAUGUGAAUUGCAGAAUUCAGUGAAUCAUCGAAUCUUUGAACGCACCUUGCGCCCCUUGGUAUUCCGAGGGGCAUGCCUGUUUGAGUGUCAUGUUAAUAUCAAACCGCUCGUCUUUCUUAACUCGAAGGGCUUGAGGUUUGGACUUGGAGGUUUUUUUGCUGGCACUCGUUUUGUCGGCUCCUCUUAAAUGCAUUAGCUGGACUUUGGUUCGCGUUUACGGUGUGAUAGUAACGUUGUUUCACCAGACGAGCGCUUGCCUAACGGGUCCGCUUCUAAUCGUCCGGGUUCUCGGACAAGGAUCCCUUAGUGGCCUUCAUUUUUGACACCUUUGACCUCAAAUCAGGUAGGACUACCCGCUGAACUUAAGCAUAUCAUU